This 1447-nucleotide ribosomal RNA is filed under the name uncultured prokaryote. RNAcentral's name for it is "partial 16S ribosomal RNA". It matches the Rfam family "Bacterial small subunit ribosomal RNA". The record is from RNAcentral.
CAGGAUGAACGCUAGCGGCAGGCUUACACAUGCAAGUCGAACGGUAACAGGUCCUUCGGGAUGCUGACGAGUGGCGCACGGGUGCGUAACGCGUAUGCAAUCUGCCUCUAUCUGGAAGAUAGCCCGUAGAGAAAUCCGGAUUAAUAUUCCAUAAUAUCAUUGAUUCGCAUGUUUCGAUUCUUAAAGCUUCGGCGGUUUGGGAUGAGUAUGCGUCCUAUUAGUUUGUUGGUGAGGUAACGGCUCACCAAGACUUCGAUAGGUAGGGGGCCUGAGAGGGUGAUCCCCCACACUGGUACUGAGACACGGACCAGACUCCUACGGGAGGCAGCAGUGAGGAAUAUUGGACAAUGGGCGAAAGCCUGAUCCAGCCAUGCCGCGUGCAGGAUGACAGCCCUACGGGUCGUAAACUGCUUUUAUACAGGAAUAAACCCCCUUACGUGUAAGGAGCUGAAUGUACUGUAAGAAUAAGGAUCGGCUAACUCCGUGCCAGCAGCCGCGGUAAUACGGAGGAUCCAAGCGUUAUCCGGAUUCAUUGGGUUUAAAGGGUCCGCAGGCGGAUUAUUAAGUCAGUGGUGAAAUCCCGAAGCUCAACUUCGGAACUGCCAUUGAAACUGUUUAUCUUGAAUUUAGUUGAAGUGGGCGGAAUAUGACAUGUAGCGGUGAAAUGCAUAGAUAUGUCAUGGAACACCAAUUGCGAAGGCAGCUCACUAAGCCGAUACUGACGCUCAGGGACGAAAGCGUGGGGAGCGAACAGGAUUAGAUACCCUGGUAGUCCACGCUGUAAACGAUGAUAACUCGCUGUUGGCGAUAUACUGUCAGCGGCCAAGCGAAAGCGUUAAGUUAUCCACCUGGGGAGUACGAUCGCAAGGUUGAAACUCAAAGGAAUUGACGGGGGCCCGCACAAGCGGUGGAGCAUGUGGUUUAAUUCGAUCAUACGCGAGGAACCUUACCUGGGCUUAAAUGCAGAACGACCGGCUGGGAAACCAGCCUUUCUUCGGACGGUCUGCAAGGUGCUGCAUGGCUGUCGUCAGCUCGUGCCGUGAGGUGUUGGGUUAAGUCCCGCAACGAGCGCAACCCCUAUUCUUAGUUGCCAGCGGUUCGGCCGGGGACUCUAAGAAAACUGCCCGCGCAAGCGGUGAGGAAGGUGGGGAUGACGUCAAAUCAUCACGGCCCUUACGUCCAGGGCCACACACGUGCUACAAUGGUAUUGACAAAGGGCAGCUACAUAGCGAUAUGAUGCUAAUCCUUAAACAAUAUCUCAGUUCGGAUUGGAGUCUGCAACUCGACUCCAUGAAGCUGGAAUCGCUAGUAAUCGCGCAUCAGCCAUGGCGCGGUGAAUACUUCCCGGGCCUUGUACACACCGCCCGUCAAGCCAUGGAAGCCGGGAGUGCCUGAAGUCGGUAACCGCAAGGAGCUGCACUAGGGUAAAACUGGCGACUGGGGCUAA